RNAcentral lists this small RNA (533 nucleotides) under Pan troglodytes (chimpanzee). RNAcentral's name for it is "retained intron". Lineage: Eukaryota; Metazoa; Chordata; Mammalia; Primates; Hominidae. The record is from RNAcentral.
AAUUUCAACUUUGCAUAGAUCCACAUACACAUACCUCAGAUUGCUGCCUUGGGCACAGUUUUGUUUCCUAGCAUUUUUGGGGUAUGAUUUCCUGGCAGAUGCCAGCCUAGACAACAUUUGCUGCAAGUACUUCCCUGCUCACAAAUACUGAGAAUACUUUUUUUUACUGGUCCCUCUUUAGAGCUGCUCUUUUCUUACCUUAUUUCUCACAGUGUUGCUGUGGAUGUAUGGUCGACGCUGGCUGAUUUCUGUAACAUACUGACUGCAGUGAAUCAGUCUGAGGUGCCACUGUACAAGGACCCGGAUGAUGACCUCACCCUUCUUAUCCUGGAAGAGGAUCGGCUUCUCUCGGGCUUUGUCCCCUUGCUGGCUGCCCCUCAGGACCCCUGCUACGUGGAGAAAACCUCGGAUAAGGUUAUUGCAGCUGACUGCAAAAGGGUCACAGUGCUGAAGUAUUUUCUGGAAGCCCUUUGUGGACAAGAAGAGCCUCUGCUGGCAUUCAAGGGUGGAAAGUAUGUGUCAGUGGCACCCGU